AGUUCAAGAGUACGUGAAACUGCUUAGAGGUUAAGCCCGAUGAACCUGAAUAUCCAUUAUGGAAAAUUCAACAUUAAUAUUAUAUUAUUUAUUUAUAAAUAUUAUAAAAAUAGUGUGCAAUUUUUCCAUAUAAGGACAUUGUAAUCUGUUAAUGUAAUAAAUAUUUAUCAUAAGAUUUAAUAAAUAAAAGUUUAUUCAAAUUAGUUAUUUUCCGAUUUCUAACAUAGAAUAAAUUUAAUUGAAUUUGAUAAAUCAUUGACAGAUUUAUUUAUAUAUAGUGCUUAAAUUCUUAAUUGAAUUUUACAAUAAUUUUUAAAUGUAUUUUUAUUUAUUUAUUGUAUGCACUUAUAUGAUUAACAAUGCUAUAGAUUCAGGAUACCUUCGGGACCCGUCUUGAAACAC
Molecule: ribosomal RNA, 402 nt
Filed under: Merodon quercetorum
Lineage: Eukaryota; Metazoa; Arthropoda; Insecta; Diptera; Syrphidae
Description: eukaryotic LSU rRNA
Source: RNAcentral